Molecule: long non-coding RNA, 808 nt
Organism: Hemicordylus capensis (graceful crag lizard)
Lineage: Eukaryota; Metazoa; Chordata; Lepidosauria; Squamata; Cordylidae
Exons: 3
Source: RefSeq, a predicted model, not a curated record
GGAGAAUUGGCUGCUGGCGGGCCCGGCCUGGCGACGGGUGGUGGCUGCGGGCCCAGCCGUGGCGAAGUGGCGGCGGGCCCAGCGGAGGGCCAAGGCGGUGAGGCGGCAGCGGGCCAAGGCCCAAGGCGCUGCUGCAGCAGAAAAUGCUAAGCUUCACAUGGCAAAACUGACAAUCUGCCAAGGAAACCAUUAUCACAGAAGCAAGGGUUUGUGCUGCAUAUUGAUAACAGCUUUGAAGGUCAGCAGAGAGGAACAGAAGGUACCUAAAGAAGACCAAGGAUGACACUUGCUCUCAGAUUUUGGAGGACACCCAGCACUCACGACUCACCAUGAAUAACAGAUACAUCCAUUGACAACAGGAACAGUCCACACACAUACCCACUGGUUUUGGAACCUUUUCCCCAAACAUAAAAGUGCAGGCAAGAACCUGGAAGCAUCUCAGUACACUCUUGGGAGAACAGCCACAAUAGGAUCUGCUGAAAACCAAAACGGUGAUCUUGCAACACAAUCUUGCAAAAAACGAAAGAGGGAAUUGUAGCAAGGAGAAGUUUAGAGAUGCUGGAAAACAAUGAAAAUGGAGUUAAAUAAGCUUUGUUCUGCCUUUGCAACGUCGUGGGGAAUUAAGCAUUCCAUGAAAGCUGCUUUUAUUUAAAACAGCAUGUUUCACUGAAUUUCAUUUUAUGACUGGUUGCUGAUUUUAAUGUUUUAUUGUUUUAGUUUUUGUGAUCCUAACAUUAUUGUUUUAAACUGCUGUUGGACUCAGAUGCAGGAUAGAAACAUUAGAAAUAAAAUAAAAUAUGUAAACCUA